GACGAACGCUGGCGGCGUGCUUAACACAUGCAAGUCGAACGCGCCUGUCCUCUGGGUUUCUGGGGGGUGGGUGAGUGGCGAACGGGUGAGUAACACGUGAGUAACCUGCCCCCUUCUUCGGGAUAACGGUCUGAAAGGGCUGCUAAUACCGGGUAUUCACUGGUCUCCGCAUGGGGUCUGGUGGAAAGGUUUUUUUCUGGUGGGGGAUGGGCUCGCGGCCUAUCAGCUUGUUGGUGGGGUGAUGGCCCACCAAGGCUUUGACGGGUAGCCGGCCUGAGAGGGUGACCGGUCACAUUGGGACUGAGAUACGGCCUAGACUCCUACGGGAGGCAGCAGUGGGGAAUAUUGCACAAUGGGCGCAAGCCUGAUGCAGCGACGCCGCGUGAGGGAUGGAGGCCUUCGGGUUGUGAACCUCUUUCGCCCGUGGUCAAGCCGCGACGUGGGUCGUGGUGAGGGUAGUGGGUAAAGAAGCGCCGGCUAACUACGUG
RNAcentral lists this ribosomal RNA (488 nucleotides) under uncultured bacterium. RNAcentral's name for it is "partial 16S ribosomal RNA". It matches the Rfam family "Bacterial small subunit ribosomal RNA", at positions 28 to 507 of the family's 1533-position model. The record is from RNAcentral.